RNAcentral lists this ribosomal RNA (403 nucleotides) under uncultured bacterium. RNAcentral describes it as "partial 16S ribosomal RNA". It matches the Rfam family "Bacterial small subunit ribosomal RNA", at positions 30 to 526 of the family's 1533-position model. The record is from RNAcentral.
AUUGAACGCUGGCGGCAGGCCUAACACAUGCAAGUCGAGCGAGCGGCGGACGGGUGAGUAAUGUAUGGGGACUGCCCGAUAGAGGGGGAUAACUACUGGAAACGGUGGCUAAUACCGCAUACUAUCGGAUAACCCAUAUGGGAUUAGCUAGUAGGUGGGGUAAAGGCUCACCUAGACGACGAUCUCUAGCUGGUCUGGGAGGAUGAUCAGCCACACGAGGACUGAGACCCGGCCAAGACUCCUACGGAGGCAGCAGUGGGUAAUAUUGCACUAGGGGCGCAAGCAUGAUGCAGCCAUGCCGCGUGUAUGAAUAAGGCCUUAGGGUUGUAAAGUACUGUCAGCGGGGAGGCGUUGCCCGAAGAAGAAGCACCGGCUAACUCCGUGCCAGCAGCCGCGGUAAUUC